CCUACGGGGGGCUGCAGUGGGGAAUAUUGCACAAUGGGCGCAAGCCUGAUGCAGCCAUGCCGCGUGUGUGAAGAAGGCCUUCGGGUUGUAAAGCACUUUCAGCGGGGAGGAAGGCGGUGAGGUUAAUAACCUCAUCGAUUGACGUUACCCGCAGAAGAAGCACCGGCUAACUCCGUGCCAGCGGCCGCGGUAAUACGGAGGGUGCAAGCGUUAAUCGGAAUUACUGGGCGUAAAGCGCACGCAGGUGGUCUGUCAAGUCGGAUGUGAAAUCCCCGGGCUCAACCUGGGAACUGCAUUCGAAACUGGGAGGCUAGAGGCUUGUAGAGGGGGGGUAGAAUUCCAGGUGUAGCGGUGAAAUGCGUAGAGAUCUGGAGGAAUACCGGUGGCGAAGGCGGCCCCCUGGACAAAGACUGACGCUCAGGUGCGAAAGCGUGGGGAGCAAACAGGAUUAGAUACCCCUGUAGUC
This 466-nucleotide ribosomal RNA is filed under the name uncultured Klebsiella sp. Its description in RNAcentral is "bacterial SSU rRNA". It matches the Rfam family "Bacterial small subunit ribosomal RNA", at positions 338 to 795 of the family's 1533-position model. The record is from RNAcentral. Lineage: Bacteria; Pseudomonadati; Pseudomonadota; Gammaproteobacteria; Enterobacterales; Enterobacteriaceae.